GAAACCGUGACUGGCUCAUAAAUCAGUCAUAAKUCCWUGGGUAGYGAAAAACUUUCYUCGGAUAACUGUGGAAAAUCCAGAGCUAAUACGUGCAACUGAGCUCCGACCUCGGCGCAAGCCGUGGGAAGAGCGCAUUUWUUAGAUUCAAAACUGACCGGCGUACUCCUUCGGGAUACGCCGUUUGUCAAAAGUUUGAKGACUCCGGAUAACUAAGCCGAGCGCUACGGUCUUCAGUACCGGCGCCGUAUCUUUCAAGUGUCUGCCUUAUCAGCUUUCGAUUGUAGGUUAAACGCCUACAAUGGCUGUAACGGGUAACGGGGAAUCAGGGUUCGAUUCCGGAGAGGGAGCCUGAGAAACGGCUACCACAUCUAAGGAAGGCAGCAGGCACGCAAAUUACCCACUCCUAGCCCAGGGAGGUAGUGACGAAAAAUAACGAUGCGAGACUCUUCCGAGGCCUCGCAAUCGGAAUGAGUCUAUUAUAAAUGUAUGGACGAGGAUCCAUUGGAGGGCAAGUCU
RNAcentral lists this ribosomal RNA (516 nucleotides) under Ketosoma sp. NB12_Iso740. RNAcentral's name for it is "bacterial SSU rRNA". It matches the Rfam family "Eukaryotic small subunit ribosomal RNA", at positions 83 to 564 of the family's 1831-position model. Lineage: Eukaryota; Metazoa; Arthropoda; Malacostraca; Isopoda; Nannoniscidae. The record is from RNAcentral.